CACGUAGGCGGGAAUUUAAGUCAGAUGUGAAAGACCGGGGCUCAACUCCGGGGUGGCAUUUGAAACUGAAUUUCUUGAGGGCAGGAGAGGAAAGCAGAAUUCCUGGUGUAGCGGUGAAAUGCGUAGAAAUCAGGAGGAAUACCAGUGGCGAAGGCGGCUUUCUGGACUGACCCUGACGCUGAGGUGCGAAAGCGUGGGUAGCAAACA
This 207-nucleotide ribosomal RNA is filed under the name uncultured Eubacteriales bacterium. Its description in RNAcentral is "uncultured Clostridiales bacterium partial 16S ribosomal RNA". It matches the Rfam family "Bacterial small subunit ribosomal RNA", at positions 568 to 774 of the family's 1533-position model. Lineage: Bacteria; Bacillati; Bacillota; Clostridia; Eubacteriales. RNAcentral also lists the same sequence under 1 other name. The record is from RNAcentral.